RNA transcript from Colius striatus (speckled mousebird), 3834 nucleotides. It is a transcript of the gene named eukaryotic translation initiation factor 1B, with no coding region annotated. The record is from RefSeq and is a predicted model, not a curated record. Lineage: Eukaryota; Metazoa; Chordata; Aves; Coliiformes; Coliidae. The transcript has 5 exons.
GCGGCCAGGGCGGCCGGGCACGGCCCUUCCCGUGGGGCAGCGCGGCCCGGCCGAGCCGCCAUUUCGGGAGGCCGAGCGUUGGUCGCGCUCGGUAACGGUGUCGUCGGGCGCGGGGCGGGUGCUUCCACCCUGUGCUCUUUCCCUUUACGCCUCCUUCCCCUCCUUUGACUCCUUUCUAUCUCUCGGGUCCGCCUCCCCUCCCUCCCUCCCGUUCCCACCCUCCCAUUCCCUCCCCUCCCCGCCGGGCACUGCGGGGCCGGAGCCGUGACCCGAGCAGACGCCGCCGCGGCCUUUUCCCCGCUGCCAGAGGCUCUCGUCGCGGGGUCGCAUGUCCUCUAUCCAGAACCUCCAGUCCUUCGACCCCUUUGCUGAUGCAACAAAGGGCGACGACUUGCUCCCGGCGGGGACUGAGGAUUACAUUCACAUAAGGAUCCAGCAGCGGAACGGCAGGAAGACACUGACAACUGUCCAGGGAAUUGCAGAUGAUUAUGACAAGAAGAAACUUGUGAAAGCUUUCAAAAAGAAAUUUGCUUGUAAUGGCACUGUGAUUGAACAUCCUGAAUACGGUGAAGUUAUCCAGCUUCAAGGUGACCAGAGAAAGAACAUUUGCCAGUUCCUCUUGGAGAUUGGCAUUGUCAAGGAAGAACAACUGAAAGUUCAUGGUUUCUAAGACACCUGUACUCUCCUGAAGAACCCUGCAAUGUUUGAUCUUCUUUGGCCUGGCUUGUCUGUGAAAAAUGUAUCAUUGCAGUGAAUGGACUUCCCCGUUACCUGAACAUUUAAAGUUUGAUUCGGCUUUGCCUGGCUGCCUGAAAUAUGUGACAAUUCCACUGGUCAGAAUCCAGUGUCUCAGUCUCCACAGAUUCUGCCUGGUGUAACAGACUUAAGUGAUCCACAGAAAGGAUGUUCCAGAAAAUUGUGUGCUGUUGCAGUGUGAUGUGUUCAAGAGGAGGAGGAGGACACGUGGAGGGAGCUGCUGCAAAGACACAAAAUCCCAGCACACAGAAGGAAAACCCAAAGAACAAGCCUUGCCCAUUUGCAGAAUAAAAGCCUUGUACUGCAAGUUUACCUAGUCCUGAUUCAUGGAUGCUGAAGUAAUUUGUCCUUCAGGGGUUCAUGGCAAAUGCCAGGAAACCUGAUGUUCUCAUUGCAAGCUUAUUAUCCUGUCCCAGAGGAGAACCAGGCAUUCUCUUCUCCCAUUUCACUGGUAUUACAUGAGUGUGUCUAGUGGCUCCUGAAGUGGAGAUUAACAAAUGAUUAGCAAGUCUCAUGUGUUACUGAGUCAGUCUGCCUUUUGGAUGGCAUUCCAUUAACUUGUACUACCUGAGCUUGAGUCAUUCCUCCACAGUCAUUCUGCUUGGAAGAGGGAAGAAAAGGAUUUGCUUUCUUCCUUUUCCUUUAAAAAGUCCUUUCUGACAGGAGGAACUUUGCAGGUGAUAGGUGGCUUGGGUUUUAUGCUGUAGUGCUGCUUCUUGAGUUUUGACCUUUGAAGGGCAAAAUUAAGAGGGAAUAAGAAGUAACACAUUAGAGAUGUAAAUAGAUGAGAUUUGUUGUGGCAAACCUGUUCUUUCUAGAAGGAAGGCAGAAAUUCUGUCCUUGUAUUUUCAACUAGAACAGUGUCUCUAUAAGAGACUGUAUUGUUGCAAGCCAAAGCCUUUGUGCAUGUUCUGGAGGAAAGGCUUCAACAACUGAAUGUUUUAUCUUUAUGCUGAAACUUCUUUGUCAAAGCUCAGCCUGUUUCAGUAUGUGUCUGUGUCUCAAAGAGGCUGGAAGACUGGGGAAGAACUGUUUAAAUUACUGCUGUGAAAACCUACUUUCACUGGUUUGCAAGCUUCAAUCUUUCCACCUCUUCCAAAUAGGUAAUGGUAAAGGAUGUGGGCCAGAAUGGUUGAGGCAGUAGAAGGGAAUUAAUAACACAGGACACUUUUAAGACCCACUCAUAGGACUUGAGACUGGGCAGGUACCAGCUGCAAAGGUGGUGACUUCCCUCUGAGAACAUUGUGAAGUCUGUCCUCCAGAUCUCCAAACCCAAAUUGCUGCCUUAGUGCUCCCCAGGCUCACCCACAUGCUGCAGCUGGAUGUGGGAGCUGCUGUUUUGGACUCCCAGCCUUGCUCUGCGUAGUUAUUUUUGGCUGUGGUAGCUGCCUCUGCGCUGGUAAUGCCAGAGUCAGGUGUCACACAGUCAUCUGUUCAGAGCCAGUGUCUGCUCAGGGCAGCUGUGAGCAAGGAAGCCAUUGCAAUUUAAGUCUGGAAGCUGCCCACUUGUUCUUGUGUGUAUUACCAGGCCCUGGGCCUGCUAAAUCCAACCACGUGUUGGGGAUGGAUGUGAGGAGCACAACUGCAGCCAUGGUUUCCUCAGGAAGAUUGUCUCAAUGGUGCCUGUGCAUGAUGCACAGCUUCAGGGGCUUUGCUAAAACCUUACCUUCUUGCACAGCCUAAGUGAAAAGCAUUUUGUUCUGGAGGACUGUUUUGGUGAGGGAGGAGGGAACCCCACAAAAUAAACCACCUUAGGAAGUAAGUUUGUCUGUUAAGUCCAUUUUCAUUAGAUGGGGUUCUCCUGGACCGCAAAACCUCUGUAACAUUUGUUGUUUCUGGUUAAAAAUGCUAAUUAAACUUCCUUCAGAGUUUGGCAUUUAAAGCCCUGACUAAAAGCCCUUAGGUUAAAAUUGUGAAGGGUUGUUAAGGUUUCAAUGUUUGCAGUAAUACUAAUGAAGCGGAGCUUUGCAUUUUGCCCUCUGCUGCUGUCCUGCUUGCAGUGGGGCACAGAGUGCCCUGAAGACACUCAGAUCCAUAGGGAGCUGCCAGUGAGAGGUAGCCCUGCUGCAGCAAGCUGCCACCUUACAGCUUGGGUAAGGUCUGUGAUGUGCUGCUCUCUUACAGGCUGUGCUGCUCCAAGCUUACAGUGUAGAACAGAUGGACCUUGAGUCCCAGUCAGCAAUUCUCUUUUUCUUAAUCCUCCUGGAAGGCUCCUGUGUACAGGAUCCAUGUCUUACACCAUUGUUUCAAGUGCCUCAGGUGGUUCUUACUAUGAAAGGACAAGGUUGGUAUUUAGGCAAUGGGGAGCCCUGGUUUGUAGGUGGCUUUGGGACCCAGCAGGGGUUCCUGUCCCUUUGGCAUGCUCAGUGUUCCUCUAAUUAGUGGUUGUUCUCCAGUUGCCACAGCAAAAACUUUUGAGCUGAAUAAGGGGAAGAUGACAUCAUUGUUUUGUGUGUGCUGGAUGGGUGCUUCAUGCCUACUGCUUCCAGUUUAAAACCCCCAAACCAGCUCAGAAGAGGGUUUGGACUUGGCAUGCCUGUUUGGUGUUUGCUGAGGAGUGAUCUCUUCUUUAACAACUCAUAACCUGAGCGUUGCUAGAGAGUUGGGCCAGCAAAGUCUUUCAACAUGAAGUGUGCUAAUGUUGUUUUAUGUUUGCUUUCCUGAAACAAAUGGAAUAUGAUGCUGUUAUUAAGGAAGAUGAUUUGGAUGGAAGCUAGAAGUAGUGUAAUUUAGUAAUUUGUAAUCAGCUUCAGUUUCCUGUUAAUGUUUCCUCUUGACUUUCUACCAUCAUCUUGCACUAAACAACUUUAAAAUGUUGUGGCUUGUACUGGGAUGUCAGAGCUCUAAGCCAAGAUGGUCAUACUGGCUCGAGGUCUGAAAUUGGAGGUGGAAUAUAUCAUCUGAUUUCUUGGAUGAGCGAGUGUUUUGUGAGGAAGCUGGUGUCGUGUGCUUGAGUUUGGUCUCAGCUGUUCUAGAAUGUCUUGCAUCUGUGAAAUGUGACAGCACAUUUCUGAAACUAAUUUGAGGUCUGGCUGAAAGUACCUGUGCAUGUAUAAUAAAGGCUUUUUCCCAUUUUAA